RNAcentral lists this ribosomal RNA (314 nucleotides) under Escherichia coli. Its description in RNAcentral is "partial 23S ribosomal RNA". It matches the Rfam family "Bacterial large subunit ribosomal RNA", at positions 99 to 406 of the family's 2925-position model. Lineage: Bacteria; Pseudomonadati; Pseudomonadota; Gammaproteobacteria; Enterobacterales; Enterobacteriaceae. The record is from RNAcentral.
UUGAUCCAGAGAUUUCCGAAUGGGGGAACCCACUAUCUUUAGUCGGAUAGUAUCCUUACGUGAAUACAUAGCGUGAGGAAGGCAGACCCAGGGAACUGAAACAUCUAAGUACCUGGAGGAAGAGAAAGAAAAAUCGAUUUCCUGAGUAGCGGCGAGCGAAACGGAAAGAGCCCAAACCAAGAAGCUUGCUUCUUGGGGUUGUAGGACACUCUAUACGGAGUUACAAAAGAAAGUUAUAAAUGAAGCGGUCUGGAAAGGCCCGCCAAAGACGGUAACAGCCCGGUAGUUGAAAUGGCUUUCCCUCCAGAGUGGAU